UGGGGAAUAUUGCACAAUGGGGGAAACCCUGAUGCAGCGACGCCGCGUGAGCGAAGAAGUAUCUCGGUAUGUAAAGCUCUAUCAGCAGGGGAGAAAAUGACGGUACCUGACUAAGAAUCCCCGGCUAACUACGUGCCAGCGGCCGCGGUAAUACGUAGGGGGCAAGCGUUAUCCGGAUUUACUGGGUGUAAAGGGAGCGUAGACGGAUUUGCAAGUCAGAUGUGAAAGGCGGGGGCUUAACCCCCGGAUUGCAUUUGAAACUGCAGAUCUUGAGUACCGGAAGGGCAGAUGGAAUUCCUGGUGUAGCGGUGAAAUGCGUAGAGAUCAGGAGGAACACCGGUGGCGAAAGCGGUCUGCUGGACGGUAACUGACGUUGAGGCUCGAAGGCG
This 389-nucleotide ribosomal RNA is filed under the name uncultured Blautia sp. Its description in RNAcentral is "bacterial SSU rRNA". It matches the Rfam family "Bacterial small subunit ribosomal RNA", at positions 355 to 761 of the family's 1533-position model. Lineage: Bacteria; Bacillati; Bacillota; Clostridia; Lachnospirales; Lachnospiraceae. The record is from RNAcentral.